GUCCCCUGGGAGCACCAACAGAGGGGUGGUCAGCAAGUCAUCACGCAAAGAGCACAUAUCACACCAACAGAGGAGCAGUCAGCAAGCCAUCACACAAAGAGCACAUCUCACAGAGGAGCGGUCAGCAAGCCAUCAGACUAAGAGCACGUCUCACAGAGGAGCGGUCAGCAAGCCAUCAGACUAAGAGCACGUCUCACAGAGGAGCGGUCAGCAAGUCAUCACGCAAAGAGCACAUCUCACACCAACAGAGGAGCGGUCAGCAAGCCAUCAGACUAAGAGCACGUCUCACACCAACAUCAAUACUUAAUGCUGAACUGCCAUAAGGGCCAAAGAUCCCCUCACAGGAAGAAACCAAACAAUUAAGAUGGAGGAAAUAAAUACACUCAGGACUGUUUAUGCAUGCAGCAUUUUAAUAGUGUUACAGAACAAGAGACUCCUGUAGACAUAAAAUCAAAGAACAGAACUAUGUGGCAUAACUACACAAAAAAAAUAUAACGUAAAAAACCUCAAUGACUGACAAACUAUGAAGAAUGAAUCCACUGUAAGCAAGGGAAAUGGCUUUAGGGACACGGCCCACUAUGGCAACAUAGAAACCGGAUGUGGAUUUGAAAGGUCUGUAGACCAGCAAGCCCUUCAAAGGAACAUGACAAACACACCAGCUGGGCAGGUUUACCACCGGAGGCACAUUAAACAUUGAUGUGAGCAGAAUCUGCAAAGUUACGACAGCUUACUGCUAUUAUUCUCGAAAGGAACUGUCUCCAGUGCAAAGUAAGGGGGUUGAUCAGCCCGUUGAUUCUCAAUAUUAACACUAACCAACAGAAUAUUUAUAUAAAUUUUCUAUGCUUUUGUCAGAAGCAAAACUUAAUUAAUUACAGUUUUGGUUAAAGCCUUAUAAAAAUAAUUAACAGCAAAUAACUAAUCUUCAACACACACUUUGUACUCUGUGUUCUCCAGCUAAAUUCACUGUGAAUGUGAGUGUGUGGGGCUGGGUCAGGUGUGUGAAAAGCUGUUAUGCCAAGCUGCUGUUUGUGGAAUACAUUCUCCAUUUGGAUUCAUCUCCAAACUCUUAGGAUUUGGCAGCUCCCUCUGAAACUGCAUCCUGGAUUUCCUCAUCAACACACCACAGCAUGUGAGAACAGACAAGAGAAGCUCUUUCACCACAAUGCUCAACAGCAGUACUCCUCAGGGCAGGGUGCUGAGCCCUUUGCUGCACUCCUUGUAUACCCAUGAUUCCAUGGGCAGACUCAGCUCCAACCGCAUUGUGAAGUUUGCUGAUGACACCACUACCGGAUAAGCAACAACAAUACAACGGCCUGCAGGGAGAAGGCGUAGUGACUGAAGGCCAAUUCAUGCUUCACUUCUCUGCGUGUGACAGUGGUCCACGCACAGGGUGCUCUCAGCAGGACCCGGAGUUCAGGAACAGGAGGACUCAGCCCAGGACUCAGGAACAGUUUCACAACUAUAAACCACUGCUCUUACGUUAUUUAAUAGCCACUGCCACUUUAAACCUCAGAACCUUGUUGUGCUGCUUGAAUACAGACACUCCUCGCUUAACGACCAAAUUGUGUUCCCAUGACUCGGUCAUUAAACAAAUCGGUCGAUAAACAAAGAGCCACCCCUUACCGAUAUUUCAAGCAUACUGUACUGGCAGUUGCUUUGUCAGCCAUCUUUCAUGUUACUUUUGUAACAUUUAUAAAAUUUUUUGUAUAUUUUUCAAGGUUUAUGUGGUAGUGUAUUGUAUACUGUAAUAAGCAGAACAGAGGAAAUCAGCUCUAAUAUACAUUACUUGUUGCCGACAUCUUGUGCUAUGGGUUACACAACAAAGUAAGGAGCAUGUGCUGACAGUGUGGUGCAGCACCCACCACGACACCAUCUACCUCAUGGAUGAGAGCCUGAAUGCAGCCAUGCAGUGGGCGAUACUUAAGCACCACACUAGUCCAAAUGUGAGUUUUUGUUCAGGUGGCUGGAAUGUCAAUCCUGCCACCAACCUCCAAGUUUUUCCCUGUAAGUUGGAGGGCCUCCUUAUAGGGCUGGAUGUAGAUUAACAUCGUAGCCAGGACAAAGCAAUUGCAGGUUAAGGGCCUUGGUCUAGGGCCCAAUGGAGUAGAAUCACUCUGGCCAUUCAUGGGAUUUGAAUCAGCAACCUUCCUGUUCCUGGAACAGAUUCCUAGUCUCAGAGCCACCACUCUGCCUGCAAUAUGGGGUGCAAAAUAUGAAUUAAUAUAUGAAAUAUGUAGUCUUCGAGAUUGCAAACAUUAGUGUAGUGAAUACUAACCCACUGUGGGAGCAAGACUGAGACUGAGAAAGGGUGAUGCAAGAUUAGAUGCUUGACAUCGAGACACCAGGCUGCUUAUUUGGUUGUAAGUCCAUGUGGUUGUUACAGAGGUAGGCUGUUAAGUGAGGAGUGUCUGUAUUGUAUGUUCUUAUACAGUUAUGUGAAGAGCGUACACCCAUUUUCAGUUAUAUGGUUUUAGGUAUCAGGACAAAAAUUUUAAAAAGUUAAAUGGUCCCUGCCAUAUUAUUUAAAUGUAACCUCAGGUGUAAAACUACUGACAACAGAUUCCACCAUGUUGUAAUGUCUUGUAUUGUGGUUCAUCUGAGGUUGGAUUUAAUUAAGACCUGCUAAGGACCAGGGGCCGUUUGCACAAAACACCUUAAGUUUUCCCCUUAAGUAUGACACUUAAGGUUUGAUUUCUCCUUAGCUAAGGGAUUUAUUUAAGGGUGUUGCACAGAACCCCUUAAAAUGUUUCCUUAUUUAAGGAAAAACAUUAAGGGAUUUACAACAUUGAAAGAGGUUUUACAGCAGUUAAAUUUUCCCAUUUCCAUGGAGACCAUUCAUACACUUGCACUCGAGCCUGCUUGUGAUACCCGUUAUCGCCUCACAAAGUUACUCGCAAAGUAAAAAAAUGGAAGAAAAGAAAACAGGAAAGCCAAAUUGGUCAGAGGAGGAAAAGAUUAUACUUUUGGAGAAAUACAAUAAAAGAAAGAACAUACUAAAAAGUAAAUUUGAUCCGCAAAUAACAGGAAACAGACGGAAAUUGCAAUGAAAAUUAAUUCAAGAAGUCUGGUGAAAAGGUCUAUCCAAGACCUUUGUCCAAAAAAUUACAACUUAUCUGUUCUGGCCAAAAAAGGGAUCACUAAUUACAGGAGAGAAUGCGACAAAACUGGUAAGAUAACUCUUACCAGUUGACGUUAACUUACAACUUCAGAUAGGUUAAACGACUUGAGGGAACUUUUAACGUUAGUCUAUGUUGCUGACAGUGAAAUAGAUCUCUGUACAUAAGUUGCUCAUCUUCUUUCAACAAGUUAUUAUUAAAGUAUUUAAGGUACAGAUAUAAAGUAAACUGUAAGGGCGGGUAACGUUAUAGGCUAUGGUUAGUUAGCGAGCUCAGCUGAACGUGAAACAGGCUUAACUUUCUAUGACUCUCGCGUUUAGACUGCAGCUUCAUGUGCUAGGAGCCCGUGGCAUAAACCCGCAGAGCAAACAUUAACUGCAACUCAGCUGGGGGAGCACAGCUUCGGAUUGUGGGGCAAUCUAACUGCACAUGGUCGGACAAAUCAUAAAUUGACUGCCGGUCAAAUUUAUAAAGCAAAAUCAAUUGUUCAUCAUUAAGUUUAUCUAAGGGGUUCUCCCGGUCGCGGAACACUCUUUUUGGGAUGCGUUCAUUUUCGUAAUUUUCUGUAUCAUCAUAAACUCUGCCAUGUUGCAGUUAAGAUAUGGUUAGAGGUACCUUAAUUUUUUUCCCCUUAGUUUUGUUGCUAAGGUUUUUUGUGCAACCGUUAAGGGAUUCCUUAAGUAUAAGACCAAGAUAAGGAGAAAAACUUAAAUACUUAAGAGAAAAUUUUAAGGAAACGUUAAGGAGGAGACUUAAGGGUGUUUUGUGCAACCAACUAUAUUUUAAGGAGACCUUAACUCGGACUUUAAGAAAAAUCUUAACUUAAGAUGUUUUGUGCAACCGGCCCCAGAUUUUUUAUUAUGUCCUGAUACAUAAAACCUUAAAAUUGAAAGAGGGGGUACUUUCUUUUUCACAUGACUGUAUAUUGUUUGUAUUGUGUAAGUACAUUGUAUGUAUUACUUGUUCUCGCUAUUCUUUUAUGUGUUAUUUGCAAUGUAGUGUCAUUCAUCGUUAUGUCAUUCAAGUCUGAAGGGAGGUACGCAAGCUUUUCAUUGUACAUAUAACAAUAAAGCUUUUGAUUCUUGAGACUCUUAGCAGUGCAAUGACAGACAGCAAAAGAACAAAUAAUAGUUUGUGCAAAUAAGCCAAAAGCGCCUAAUUAGAUGAGUGAUCCAAAUCUGCAGCAUCUCAGGUAUCACAUAUAUGAUUCUAUAUGUUAUAUUUAUAUAUUUUUCAAGUUAGUAUGUGGUCAACUUGCAGAAUCCUGGCUGCUAUAAUACCCGUUAUGGUACCAGACCAUCACUUUCUCACACUCGCAAAGCAAGAACCUAGUUUCCAUUCCUUGUCGAUUUCACCCACCAGCUGAUUAUCCGGCAUGCCUAUCUCAGGCAGUAUAUUCUAGGAAAUUAUGCCAGUCCACCGCUAUAGCAUUGGAAAUAAAGUUUGCCUAAGCUUGCAUGAAACCAUCAGGUAUUCAUAACAAA
Brienomyrus brachyistius is the source of this 4600-nucleotide long non-coding RNA. RefSeq lists it as uncharacterized. The record is from RefSeq and is a predicted model, not a curated record. Lineage: Eukaryota; Metazoa; Chordata; Actinopteri; Osteoglossiformes; Mormyridae. The transcript has 2 exons.